CCGGUGUUUACAAGAGCUCCCGAAAUUGAAAAUUACCGAUGUUCAUCGAAUUUGCAGGACGACUAAAUCCCCAGCCAGCAAAUUGGACAAAGGGUUCAAGUUAUAUGCUGCAUCAUAUAUUCAUGAUUACGAAGAUAAAGCUUCGUGAUUCCUCGCCGGUGGUGUUAACAACAGUGCCUGCAACUGUGUUGCAGGCACUGUUUUGUGCAAUCACACUGUGGCACUGCUUUACCAAACAGCUUAUUAUAGUCAACUGAACAUACCAGUCGUGCCCCCUGUCCAUAGCUGCACAGAAUCAGAACAGCAAUGGCACAAGCCACGUACAAUGGUAAUUUAAUUGAGGUUUUAAAGUGUUCUUGUUUGACUGUUUUCAUUUAAAGUGACUCCACACGAUGCAAAUGUGCUCUCUGUUAGGGUGUGAAGCCAGGACCCAUCAACUCCAAGGUCUUCACCAAACCUGUACCUAAUAGGAUGGUCACGACUGGAGUGAGAAGUGGAUUCUACAGAGGCAUGGUGGGUCCAUUACCCGAUCCUUGCAUGUUCAGAGUAACGGAGGCCUAUGAAAAAUGCAGUAUUGAGGACAGGCCACUUGUGACUACAAUGAACAUGAGAGCCGACAAGCCCCUUGUGGAAAGUGCCUUCGGGAUGGUGCAGGAGGGCAGUGUUCCGUCAUAUCAGAUGCCUGCUUUGAAAUCUCGUUACAUCGUUCUUCACAAUGGUGCACCACCAACACCACACUUGCCUCUAGAGGGAUAUGACAUCUUGCCAUGUGAGUGUGUGUUUGUAUGUUCUGAAGAGGAGCUACUGCAUAUGACCAGCUUAUCUGUUACUAUGAAAAUGGCACACACAAUUGAGGAGGCUACCUGUGAGCAAAGCUCUUGCUCAGAGUGGCAUCAGCUUCGCAGACCGAGGGUGACCGCGUCUAGAUUUCGAGAGGUGUGUCAUGUCAGAAGCAAGAGCUCUGCAGAGUCACUUGCAGAGCGGAUCAUGAAAGGUACAAGGCAGACGGCGGACAUGAGAAGAGGUUCUGAGAUGAAGCCCACAGUAUCAGUCGAGUACAGUAAACUAGCGAAUGUAAACUAUUCACCCUGCUACCUCCUAGCUUGGUGCCUCCCCCGAUGGAGUUGUUUUUGACCCCACUGAAUACCCCCAAUUUGGCCUUGUUGAGUUCAAAUGUCCCAAUGUUCAAAACUAUGUCGACUGCAAAUAUGUAAAAAUGGAAUGUGGUUCCCCUAAGCUAAAGAAAAGCCAUGCAUACUACUGGCAAGUGCAAGGUCAACUUCUUGUCACUGGGAUGCAGUGGUGUGACUUUGUUGUGUGGGCGCAGGAGGACUAUCUUGUGCAACGGAUAUACAUCGAUCCAGAAGUGCAAACUGCAAUCCGAGAAAAGGUUGACGCUUUUUUUUCCCACACAUACAUGCCUAAGUGCCUUUCAUUCAAAUAAAUACCACUGAACAUUUCCCCUCCUGCAUUGUAAGCCAUUUUGAGGAAGCUAACUCUGAAUCACAUGUUAUGAAUGUUUAACAUAGCACC
This is an RNA transcript of Gymnodraco acuticeps, 1533 nucleotides long. RefSeq lists it as uncharacterized. The transcript has 3 exons. NCBI's taxonomy places the organism in Eukaryota, Metazoa, Chordata, Actinopteri, Perciformes, Bathydraconidae. The record is from RefSeq and is a predicted model, not a curated record.